This 445-nucleotide ribosomal RNA is filed under the name Acinetobacter sp. RNAcentral describes it as "bacterial SSU rRNA". It matches the Rfam family "Bacterial small subunit ribosomal RNA", at positions 306 to 743 of the family's 1533-position model. The record is from RNAcentral. Lineage: Bacteria; Pseudomonadati; Pseudomonadota; Gammaproteobacteria; Moraxellales; Moraxellaceae.
AGCCACACUGGGACUGAGACACGGCCCAGACUCCUACGGGAGGCAGCAGUGGGGAAUUUUGGACAAUGGGGGAAACCCUGAUCCAGCCAUCCCGCGUGUAUGAUGAAGGCCUUCGGGUUGUAAAGUACUUUUGGCAGAGAAGAAAAGGUACCUCCUAAUACGAGGUACUGCUGACGGUAUCUGCAGAAUAAGCACCGGCUAACUACGUGCCAGCAGCCGCGGUAAUACGUAGGGUGCAAGCGUUAAUCGGAAUUACUGGGCGUAAAGCGUGUGUAGGCGGUUCGGAAAGAAAGAUGUGAAAUCCCAGGGCUCAACCUUGGAACUGCAUUUUUAACUGCCGAGCUAGAGUAUGUCAGAGGGGGGUAGAAUUCCACGUGUAGCAGUGAAAUGCGUAGAUAUGUGGAGGAAUACCGAUGGCGAAGGCAGCCCCCUGGGAUAAUACUGA